RNAcentral lists this ribosomal RNA (419 nucleotides) under Veillonella parvula. RNAcentral describes it as "bacterial SSU rRNA". It matches the Rfam family "Bacterial small subunit ribosomal RNA", at positions 28 to 424 of the family's 1533-position model. Lineage: Bacteria; Bacillati; Bacillota; Negativicutes; Veillonellales; Veillonellaceae. The record is from RNAcentral.
GACGAACGCUGGCGGCGUGCUUACCACAUGCAAGUCGAACGAAGAGCGAUGGAAGCUUGCUUCUAUCAAUCUUAGUGGCGAACGGGUGAGUAACGCGUAAUCAACCUGCCCUUCAGAGGGGGACAACAGUUGGAAACGACUGCUAAUACCGCAUACGAUCUAAACUCGGCAUCGAGGAUAGAUGAAAGGUGGCCUCUACAUGUAAGCUAUCACUGAAGGAGGGGAUUGCGUCUGAUUAGCUAGUUGGAGGGGUAACGGCCCACCAAGGCGAUGAUCAGUAGCCGGUCUGAGAGGAUGAACGGCCACAUUGGGACUGAGACACGGCCCAGACUCCUACGGGAGGCAGCAGUGGGGAAUCUUCCGCAAUGGACGAAAGUCUGACGGAGCAACGCCGCGUGAGUGAUGACGGCCUUCGGGUG